GUGCCAGCCGCCGCGGUAAUACCGGCGCCCCAAGUGGUCGUCACUAUUAUUGGGCCUAAAACGUCCGUAGCCGGUUUGGUAAAUCCGUGGGUAAAUCAGACAGCCCAACUGUCUGAAUUCUGCGGGGACUGCCAGACUUGAGACCGGGAGAGGUACGGGGUACCUCUGGGGUAGCGGUAAAAUGCGAUCAUCCCAGAGGGACCACCUGUUGCGAAGGCGCCGUACUAGAACGGAUCUGACGGUCAGGGACGAAGCCUAGGGGCACGAACCGGAUUAGAUACCCGGGUAGUCCUAGGUGUAAACGCUGUGGACUUGGUGUCGGGGACCUUCUGAGGGUUUCCGGUGCCGGAGUGAAGAUGUUAAGUCCACUGCCUGGGGAGUACGGUCGCAAGGCUGAA
RNAcentral lists this ribosomal RNA (398 nucleotides) under uncultured bacterium. RNAcentral's name for it is "bacterial SSU rRNA". It matches the Rfam family "Archaeal small subunit ribosomal RNA", at positions 455 to 853 of the family's 1478-position model. The record is from RNAcentral.